CCUCCUCACACUCUUCCCCUGAUGGACCCUUCUGAUGGAGGACUGUCUUCCAGGGACUUCUCCAGGAUAAGGACUUGAAAACUGCCUUUGCAGUCUCUCUCUCUCCUGUGCCGCACAGAGACAUUCCUUCAGCCUGCGAUUUCUCUUGGUUUAAGCAGUAUUUAUCAAAUGGAAACAUAUGUAUACAGUGGUACUCUUCAGAUCCAUAUUAUCUGCUCUCUAAAGCCAUCAAAAUGAAUUUUUUGCCUCUGAAAUGAUAACAGAUGGAGUCCUUUCAAAAUCAAUGGGGAA
Zonotrichia albicollis (white-throated sparrow) is the source of this 291-nucleotide non-coding RNA. The record is from RefSeq and is a predicted model, not a curated record. NCBI's taxonomy places the organism in Eukaryota, Metazoa, Chordata, Aves, Passeriformes, Passerellidae.